UAUGGGAUCAGCUGCUGACCGGAUUUUUGUGGCGACGUUUCAGACGGCUUUCUAAAUCGUUUCAACGUCUGGAGUACCAAGUAAUCAUGCAGGAGAAAACGCUAUUGUAAAGGUGUCUUGAGCUCCUGACCAAAACGCGCACUCAAGCUCUCCCGUAUAAUGGCAGUUUGGUAAUUAGCCAAUCAUUAUCUAGACUUCUACAGCAGCAAGACAUGGACGAUGUUGAUUGUGCCACAGAAGAAUUGACAGUCGAACCUAGUCAGCAGAAGACCAAAACGACUCACAGCGUUGCCAGUGACCAUACGCAUUCAUUUCAAUCAGCAAAGGCGCCGACCCUUUGUAGUUUGAUAGUUACGACACUUCGAGAGCCAACGGAUUCCGUCGAUAGUGGAUGGUCGUGGGUCAUAUGCGCUUGCUCUUUCGUAACCAAUUUCGUUGUGUUGGGCACAUUGGCAUCCUUUGGUGUGCUCUACACAGGAUUAUUAGAAUUCUACACUGAGUCUAACACAACCAGCGGCUACUGUGACACAAACAAGAAUGAGAGUGGAAUAAGUGCAGUUACUGCUUGGAUUGGAAAUCAAGCUGUGUUUCUUACGUAUUUGCUUGCCCCAUUUUCAACCAGUCUUGUUGCUCGAUGGGGAGUGAGGCCCGUGACGAUGACUGGAUCUGCACUUGUUUCUGCUGGAGCAUUUCUUACUGCAGCAACAAAUGUGAUGUGGCAGGCAAUUCUGACUUAUGGCGUAAUUCUAGGUGUAGGAGCUUCAUUAUCUGUUACUCCUGUGACUGGAAUACUGCCGGCUUACUUCAACAAGAGAACAUCACUUGCUGUGUGCAUGGCUCGGUCUGCUGCUUGGGUUGCUGGACUGUGUAUGUCUCUAAUUAACCAGACUAUUUUGGAUCGUUAUGGUUGGAGAGCAGUCUGCAUAUUUAUUGGAAGCUACAGCUUGUUGUCGUUUGUGUCUGGACUGUUGAUACGGCCUCGUGUGCAACAGAUUAAGCAAAAGUUGACAAUGAAACAAAUCGUCAUUCGAGCCUGCAAUACACAACGACAUGUUCGAUUUUCAGUGUGGCUGUGGUUGACGUCACUUCACUACUUCUCACUUUACCUUGUCCUUCAUCAUUUGAUUCGUCAUGCUGAAUGCUCAGUUGGAGCGUCAGGCAGGGACGCAGCACUAUUACUGACCUACGCAUCGGUGUUUGGGGCAGUGUCAGGUGUUCUUGUGGGCUACAUUGGCGAUUACGUGAGCAACAGGAUAAUGCUCUUGCAGUUGAUUAUCUUUUUGUCUGGAAUCGUAAACAUUUGUUUUCCAUUCUUCAAGACUUACAGUGAACUUGUCGGAUAUUCGAUUCUGGUUGGUGUGUUUGGAUCAUUUCGGAUGCUAGUCGCUGUCAUUCCUCGGGAUAUAGUCGGACUGGAAGAGAUUGUCAAUGCUUGGGGAAUAUACUCAUUGAUUGCUGGUGUGGUGGCUUCUGCUGGGCCACCGUUUGGCGGUAUGUGCACACUGGUUUGGGUCGGUAAUUUUUUCAUCAAUUUUUGUGUUUUAUGAUGGAUAUAUGACUUUACUGGCUCGUACAAUACUGCUUUUGUGGUUUGUGGUUGUCUGUCGGUUAUUUCUAGUUUAUCAAUGUUCUCUGACAUUUAUCUCAAGAGAAGACAGGAGCAAAAGUUGAACAAGAAGGAGAAACUUGAAUCAGACUCAUGCGUGGGAUGAUGGUACUCCAAUAGAGGAGACCCUCAGCACACUCACAGAUCUUGUUCGUCAGGGCAAAGUUCGAUAUUUGGGUCUGAGCAAUGUGACCGGCUGGCAACUACAGAAAAUCAUCGACCUCACCAAGUACAAGCAUUAUGAACCAUUUGUUUCUCUUCAAGUUUGCUAAUAAAUUUCAAUAAAAUAUGUUUAUAAUAUCACGAGUGUAAUACAUUU
Molecule: RNA transcript, 1925 nt
Organism: Corticium candelabrum
Lineage: Eukaryota; Metazoa; Porifera; Homoscleromorpha; Homosclerophorida; Plakinidae
Gene name: 1-deoxyxylulose-5-phosphate synthase YajO-like
Exons: 4
Source: RefSeq, a predicted model, not a curated record